CGUUGACCUCGAAUCAGGUAGGACUACCCGCUGAACUUAAGCAUAUCA
RNAcentral lists this ribosomal RNA (48 nucleotides) under Beauveria sungii. RNAcentral's name for it is "partial 28S ribosomal RNA". The record is from RNAcentral. Lineage: Eukaryota; Fungi; Ascomycota; Sordariomycetes; Hypocreales; Cordycipitaceae.